CUUGCUCCCUGAUGUUACGGCGGACGGGUGAGUACACGUGGGUACCUGCCUGUAAGACUGGGAUAACUCCGGGAAACCGGGGCUAAUACCGGAUGGUUGUUUGAACCGCAUGGUUCAAACAUAAAAGGUGGCUUCGGCUACCACUUACAGAUGGACCCGCGGCGCAUUAGCUAGUUGGUGAGGUAACGGCUCACCAAGGCGACGAUGCGUAGCCGACCUGAGAGGGUGAUCGGCCACACUGGGACUGAGACACGGCCCAGACUCCUACGGGAGGCAGCAGUAGGGAAUCUUCCGCAAUGGACGAAAGUCUGACGGAGCAACGCCGCGUGAGUGAUGAAGGUUUUCGGAUCGUAAAGCUCUGUUGUUAGGGAAGAACAAGUACCGUUCGAAUAGGGCGGUACCUUGACGGUACCUAACCAGAAAGCCACGGCUAACUACGUGCCAGCAGCCGCGGUAAUACGUANGUGGCAAGCGUNUCGAAA
This 482-nucleotide ribosomal RNA is filed under the name Bacillus sp. enrichment culture clone A4a. RNAcentral's name for it is "bacterial SSU rRNA". It matches the Rfam family "Bacterial small subunit ribosomal RNA", at positions 79 to 541 of the family's 1533-position model. Lineage: Bacteria; Bacillati; Bacillota; Bacilli; Caryophanales; Bacillaceae. The record is from RNAcentral.